This 3353-nucleotide long non-coding RNA is filed under the name Nicotiana tabacum (common tobacco). Its description in RNAcentral is "long non-coding RNA (NTAB_LNC001454)". The record is from RNAcentral. Lineage: Eukaryota; Viridiplantae; Streptophyta; Magnoliopsida; Solanales; Solanaceae.
UUUAUUACUGUUUGAGUGAGACCCUCCCCCCUUAAAACCCUAGAAACUCACACAUAACUCGUCUCUCUCACCCCUCUCUCACUAUCCGCCGCCUCCGCCGCCGGAAAUCACCCUACGGCGACAGCCCAUCGCCAAAUAACCCCAAAACUUCACCAUAUAAUCCCAAGAUUCUUUCAUCACCAAUCUACCAUUAAUUCCCCUCAAUUUCCAUUAGAACUCCAUGAAUUUUAGAUCUUAAUCUAGGAAAAACCUAAAUCCACCCCUUUUCAAUUUUUUCUCAAAAAUCCCAAUUUGUUUGGGCUUAAAACCAAUGUCAAUCGACCGUUGUUGUUGAAUGUUACAAGUUGGCUUGGUUGUGUCUCGUUUCAAGGUCGUCGUUCAACUCGCCACUAGCUGGUCAGUUUUGUGGAAAGCCACUGUAAUUCUAGGUCCUUUUCCUUUUUCUUGGUUCAUUUUUGUCAUCUCUACUUGAAACACUGUCUACUCCCUUAAGCGUGAGUCAGUGUUCAUGUUGUGAUGCCUGACAUCCUCCAGAAUUUCCUUAUGUUCGAUGAUAUAUUGGUAAUCCUUUCCUCCUCCUUUUCAUUCCCUGAAUUAGCGGUUCUUUGUUUAAUUAUUACUUAAUUAUGAGUUCUUGUUUGACAACAUGUUUAGUUCAAUCAUUAAUUAUUUUAAUUGCCUAAUUAGUUAUUUGUCGAAUUUGAUGUUUGGUCAGUUUGUUGCUAUAGUUUCAAAUUGCAUAUUCAUUUAACAUGACAAUUGGCUAUUAAUUCAUGUUUAGUUGUGUUUGUUAGCUUGUUGAUAGUUUAAGCUUAGUUACUUCCUGAUUAAUGCUAUUAAGAGAAAGAAGUUUGGGAAAAAGAAGGGGUUAAAUGAAAGAUGGGUAAAUGCAGGGAUCUUGCAGGGUAGUUUAGGAAUUGAAAUUAAGGGAAUGUUAUAUGUAACUAUUUGAGAAAGUUCUAGAGACAGGACGAAGGAUUAAAGUGCAAUUAAAACCAGAAAUUAGGUCAGAUUUUGGGGUCAAAAGGGGAAUUUUCAGAAGCUAAAAGGGUUGAAAAAAAUAUAGACGAAUAUCUGAAUGGAUAGCUGUUGGACAACUGUCCAAUUCAGUUUUAAAAGAUGCUCUUUUCUUAAAAUUUAGGGACUGCAUUCUUAGAAUUAUUCCCUUAUCAUUUGGGCACAAGGCAGAUUUUAUUUUCUCUAUAUAAGGCCUUCUAUCUUCUUUCUCUCUCACACACACACGGAAAACCUCUCUGAAAUACAGACUCAUUUUCCUCAUUUUUGAGGCGAAUUUUGAGACUGAUUUUGAGAUUGAGGAAAACACUCAAAAAAACUUCCAUCAAGCUAAGUUUUAUUGUAGUUGUUUCUAUCUGUUGAUGCUGCUCUCGUUUAGUUGUAAAGUUAGGAUCACUGUUUGGUUUUCUCUAUUAGAUGUCUCUCCAUUAGUAGCUGAGCUUGUUUUCUUUGGAUUCUAAACCUUUAUUUGGUCAUUUCUUUUGUUUCUUUGCUUGAGAUAUGUAAAUCCUAAGCUUAUUCUUUUAUUUUGAAUCAUAGAUGAAAAUUUAUUGAAUAUAUGUUGGUUCUCACACUAACUAAGUGUUGUUUUGCCAAACUUUAAGUUCUAUUGCUCUAAUCUUGUUCUUGAUCGAUGUUUUGAUGAUGAAUAUGUUUUUCUCCGCUGAGAUUUUGAGUUGGCUAAUAGGCUAUUGAUGAAUUUGAAUGAUUUAGAAAAUCUAUUUGUUGUUUUUCAUGAAUCUAUGAGGGCUGUUUGAAUUUCAUUAAGUCUGUUUGUAUUGGAGGUUUUGCUUGGCAGAUUUUGAGCACUAUUGAAUUCAUGUGAGUCAUUCAACUAUUCCCUGUGUUAUUGUACGAGCUGCCAGAUUGUGGAAUUCAUCUUAUAAUAACAUUGGGAUUCAUAAUUAAUUAGUUCCAAUCUUAUAGCCUAUUUUUUUAUUUGAGUAGUUUCUUUUGGUCUCAAUUUGUAAUUAAGUGAACCUUCCUCCACUGAGUAGUGUAUCUCAAUCCAUUAGUGCACUAUUCAGUUAAUUCAAUUCAAAUUAAUAUUACAGUUUCAAAUGUAGAAUUAAAUGUAGCAUUUUGAUCCAGUAAUGUGAUUUUCAUAUCCCGAUAUUUGGAAGUUCGUCUAAAUCGCUGCUAGUUAUUGCCAUUUAAUUUGCUAGUUUCCAAACUUGUUUUGAUGUGUUUAUGGUAAGAAUUUGGUAAAUAUUUAUCAUGUUCAGUCAUUUAAUUGUAAACACUAUGUUGAAUGUAUCUAUCUAUUGCAUCUAAUUUCCUAUGGGGUUCAACAGCCAAAGAUUAUAUGAAUCAUGAAAAGAUGAGUCUUGCUUUAAUCUCUUUAAAAAUAUAGCUACUUUGUUUUCUUUUUUUUUUGUUGGAAAGAUAAAUAGUAUUAAACAUAAUUAAAGUUGCUACAGAGAGGGUGAUGCUGUCGCAUCUAAGUUAUAGUUUAUGUUUGGUUGAUCAUUACAGGGACUACUGCUAUCAAAACUAACAUUGUUAUCUAUCAUGGUAUCGCUAGAGGGAGCAUCCAUUUGUCGUUAAUUGUCCCAUUGUAGUUGUUGUAUCCAUGUUGUCUUCCUUAGGCGAGUGGCCUCUGCUCGAUCCCUUUGUAAAAAGAUUUUGACAAAAUCCGGUGGUUGUUCAGAAAUGGUUGCAGUUGUAGUAGAGUCGAUGUUGCACCCCGCUUUUGCUAAGCCAUCAGCCACCUCGUUCCCCUCCCUAUAGGUGUGCAUAAUAGUAGGACUAUGCAGCUUGUUUAGGAGGUGCCUGCAGCCAUGAAUUAUAUUAGUAUAAAGGAGGUUAUCUUGUCCCAACAUCCUGAUUACCUUUGUUGCAUCGAUGUUGAUUUCCAGGGGAACCAAAUGAUAUGUGUUUACCAAUUCUAGUCCAUAGAAUAGAGCUUUUAGUUCUUCUUGAACUAUGUUGGCACUGUCCAAAUUUUCUGCAAAACCUAUGAUUCAAUUUCCAUUGGAGUCACAUAUUGCUCCUCAUAUUCCUGCUUUCUGAGUUAAUGUUUCUACAGCCCCAUCCGUGUUUAAUUUAUAGUAGUUUGGUUUAGGAUGUAUCCAUUUAAUGGGAUGCAUUGAUGUUUGUUUUUUUAUGGUUACUCUCACAGCGAGGUAGGUGAAUUCAAGAGCAUGAUUAGUUACUUCUUUUUUAAGUGUUGAAGUAUUUCUUGCACAAUGGUAGUGUUAUCUUAGGCUCUUUUCCCCUCUUGGAAACUGGAUUGUAUGAGUCCAAUUAAUUUUGGUAAUAGAGGUUUUAACCUAUUGACAAUAAUUUUUGUAAUUAUUUUGUAAGUUGUGUUACAUAAGCUUAUAGGUCGAUAUUGA